Vicugna pacos (alpaca) is the source of this 1934-nucleotide non-coding RNA. Lineage: Eukaryota; Metazoa; Chordata; Mammalia; Artiodactyla; Camelidae. The record is from RefSeq and is a predicted model, not a curated record.
CUCCGCAUGUCCCCAGUGCAGAAUCUGUCAUGUGGCUGGCCCAGCAUGGAGAUGACGGCAGAAUGCAGACGGGUUGGCACCCUCCCCCCGCCCCCGUGCCCAGGCCACCCACCCCAUCGGCCAUCUUUCCUGCCGCCCUGGCUGUUGCCAGCAGAAGGACUGGGUGGGGAUCAGCUCUGGGGCCAAAGAGGAUGGGACAAUGCGCCCUCCAGACUCCUAGGACUGGCCCUCUGGCCCUGGCAUGUCCCUGACCACAAACGGGCAGAGGCCUGGGUGGAGCGGAGGAGGGCGCGUUCCCGCGGACCAGCGGUGGGCAGGGGCAGUGCCUUGGAGAGCCAUCUCCCUGGGUUUCGUGGAACCCUGUCCACCUGCCUGCAGACCAACAGACAGCGUGGGCCAGCUCCAGGAAGUGAUGCUUAGGGCCCAGGCCACAGGGGCGGGGGUGGGCCACCUCUGGCACACAGGCUGCUCCUUCCUCCUGGUCCCACAGACACCAGGCCCAGGCAGACUCUGGGCCCAGGGGAGGUGGAGGGCUGGGCCCAGAGCACGCUGUGCCCUGGCUGCCCAGUCCUUCUCUGCUCCCUGCCGCCCCCAGGCCUGUCUUCCUUCAGAGAGGAGGUUUCCGGGCCAUUAUAUUUGUACUUCCUCUGGCGUCUGCCUCAAGCCCAGCCCUAGCCCUGACCACUCCAUCCCUCGCUGACCCCCAUCUUCCCUGGGGACCCUCCAUCGGCCCGUGUCUCCCUCAGGGGCUGAUCCUGGAGACAGGAGUAGUGUGGGGGACUGGGAGAGCAGUGCUGAGCAGAUGGGGCUGGGGUGGUCUCCCAGGGGUCAGGCCAGAGUUCAGUGUGAGUGCUGGGAGUGAUCCUGGGCAGAGGUGAGGAGGAACUGUCAGCCAAGGCUGGGCCUCCCAUCCUUUGUCCCUCGGAUGGAGAGGCUGGAGGAAGGAGGAUGGCUGCUUCCUCGAGGGCUUGCAUCAUGGCCAAGAAGAGCAGCUCAAUUUUUCCAGAAGGGACGGAAACGUCCCCGUCAACCCCGCAGCAAAGCUGAGGUGUGACUGUGGGCUCACCCUCUGGACAGGACUGGGGAUGCCACAGGGCAGACUCAGCAUGGCCCGGCUCCCUGCCUGGGGCAGGUGGGUGCCCAGCGAGAUGGAAGAUGAGCCAAGACGUGCUGGCACGUAUCUACCUGGGUGGGCUCCCCGCCGGGCCCCCAGGUCUCAAGAUGCUGCUGGUGCUGCAGCAUCAUGGCCUCGCUCAGCUCACAGUCCCUCCCCGCAGCAGCCCUGGUCAGCCAUGUGUGCUGGAGGGCUGAGGGCCAGGCGAGCAAGGUCCCCAGGGCAGUACACCCUGAACUUUGGGGGUUCAAGCCCAUUGCUGCCCCCUCAGCAACCAGGCGGAAGCACCAGGCAGCUUCUGGUCCCAGCCAAGGCCUGAGGUCUGUGGAGCUGAGCCAGCACUGCCACUGCCAAGAUUCCCGGCAAGGGGGUGGGGGCGGCGGGGACACAGUUCUCGCUUGUUCCUGCCCCAGCUCCUCAGGCUCAGCUGAGCCGCUUCCUUUUUUAGGCAAAGUCAGCCUGUCUCAAAGCCCGGCGUCUCACCUGCCAGAAAGGGAGGAAGGAAAACCAUUGAGUCCCAUCCGUCCUCCUGGGGAGGGGGAAAGGGAGGGGACAUCCUGGCAGAGAUGGCCCUGCUGCCUCACCCUGCGGGAACUGUGCCCCUCCCCAGCUAAGCAGAAAGGAGUGGUUGGGAGAGGGCAGUGGUUACCCCACCAGAAGGAAUCUUAGGAGUGAGGGGGGCGAGGCUCUCCUGGACCUCAAUUCCUGCCCAGGGAUGCUGAACUGCCUCCCUAAGGGCAAGGAAUCUGCCCUGGGGGCUGAGUGUCCCUCAGGGUGUCCCUGGCAGCCAGCCACCUCUAGUCUGGUCUAGCAAAGAUCC